RNAcentral lists this long non-coding RNA (1570 nucleotides) under Cricetulus griseus (Chinese hamster). Its description in RNAcentral is "lncRNA (ENSCGRG00015043356.1)". The record is from RNAcentral. Lineage: Eukaryota; Metazoa; Chordata; Mammalia; Rodentia; Cricetidae.
AGGCCAGUGGACAGUUGGUUUUCAGGGAAGAAAUACAAAUGGCCAAUGAAUAUUUGAGGAGGCGGUCCACAUCCUUAGCCUUCUGGGAAAUGCCAAUGGCAGCUUCUCUGAGGUCCCAUCCCACCCAGACUUGCUGCCAUUGAGACGGGAAAUGACAACAAAUGCUGGUGAGGAUAUGGGAAAGGGGAUCUUUAUUCACUGGUGACAGGAAUGCCAGUGGCCGCAGCUGGUAUGAAAGUUGGUGUGGGCAUCCUCAAAAAUGAAAGUGGAACUAUUGUAUGAUUCAGCGACACCACCCCUGAGUAUGUGUCUUUAGGAUGCUUGGUCACUGUAGGAGAGGCCUUGCACAUGCGUGUUUAUUACUGAACCAUUCAUCAUAGCCAAGAUAUGAAAUCCCUUGAGGCCUAUCAGCAGAUGAAGGGAUAAAGAAACUGCUCAUGCGUACAAUGGGGUUUUAUGCAGUCACAGAGAAGCAUGAAAUCACGGCAUUUGUAGGAAGAUGGAUGCAACUAGGACUCAUUAUGUUAAAUGAAGCCCUCUGACUGUUCAUUCAAAAUGGCAAGCUGGCUGACACAUUUUUUUGGCAAGGUGCCCUUCAUGGAUAAUUGUGGCUAUACUUCCAUGGCAGAUGAAACUGCUACUUCAUGUGAAAUUGUCUAGAUGACCACUUUAUCUGGAGCAGAUCUUGAAACAGCCAGGAUUUUCCUCCUAAAGUUCUGUUCCCUGGAAGGGAAGCCUUUGUUGGAGUCAAUACUUCCUGAUCUGAUGGGCGAUGGAGCAAGGCACUUUGCCUGGUUCUAACAGAGCACAGUCGAACACUCAGGUUCAUGAAAGUCAAGAGCAAUGACCAGUGGAAUCCUACCUGGGGCCCUGACGUUUCUGACAUUGAUGUAAAGUACUACAACAAGGCCAAUGGCAAGCUGACUGUGUCUGCAGAUUACACUGAUUUUUACAUAACAUAUCAAGACCUGAGGCUGGAGAAGAGACACAUGGAGAUCACCUGCCUUUCAACAAUGCCCUUAGCUCCUGUAUUUUUGGUCACGGCUUGGAGGCGUCUAAGUAAUGAAGAAGCCCUGGCAGUGGAAAGGGAUGUGCACUCCCAUCACCUAAGCAAAUACACUGAGCACCCAAUAGCUGUGCCGGUGGCUGAUUCCAUCCUGUUCUGUUUUCCGAGGACCUCAAACCUACAAAAUACACUUGGCUCAGUUAGGGAAGUCACAGCACAAAGGAACGAAUGCCUCCAAUUUUUAUAGAGUAGACACCUCCAACCGGAACAGAAUAUGGGCCAUGUGUGUGAUUAACCACACUCUGAGGGAUGGAACACCCUUCUCCAGAAGCUCCCGCUUGCUUUCUGAAGCUGUGGGACUGGAGAAGAAGGGAAGGUGGUUUUACAGUGACGAACUUGUCAGUGGGCUUCCAGCCACUCUCCACCAGGACCCCGUGUUCAGCGAUGUGGCCUCCAUCGUGGCUGUCAUCUCCACCCUGUCCUGAGCAGUGACUGUCUUAGCCAAGGAGCAAAAUGUGUCUGCAGCGCCCCAGUUUUAUCAAUCAGUGGCCCUCUAAACUUGGU